GAUGAACGCUGGCGGCGUGCCUAAUACAUGCAAGUCGAGCGAACGGACGAUAAGCUUGCUUCUCUGAUGUUAGCGGCGGACGGGUGAGUAACACGUGGAUAACCUACCUAUAAGACUGGGAUAACUUCGGGAAACCGGAGCUAAUACCGGAUGAUAUUUUGAACCGCAUGGUUCAAAAGUGAAAGACGGUCGUGCUGUCACUUAUAGAUGGAUCUGCGCUGCAUUAGCUAGUUGGUAAGGUAACGGCUUACCGAGGCAACGAUGCAUAGCCGACCUGAGAGGGUGAUCGGCCACACUGGAACUGAGACACGGUCCAGACUCCUACGGGAGGCAGCAGUAGGGAAUCUUCCGCAAAGGGCGAAAGCCUGACGGAGCAACGCCGCGUGAGUGAUGAAGGUCUUCGGAUCGUAAAACUCUGUUAUUAGGGAAGAACAUAUGUGUAAGUAACUGUGCACAUCUUGACGGUACCUAAUCAGAAAGCCACGGCUAACUACGUG
Molecule: ribosomal RNA, 497 nt
Filed under: uncultured bacterium
Lineage: Bacteria
Description: partial 16S ribosomal RNA
Rfam family: Bacterial small subunit ribosomal RNA
Source: RNAcentral